GUAACCCACUGAGCCACAGUGGGAACUCCUUCCAGGUAUUAUUACUUGUCCUUUCUUAUGUACCAAGAUAACUGUUGUCACUCUUUGUGGUCCACACCAGGGACCUCAAAUACAUCAGGUUCUUUUUCCUAUUCUAAAAUGAGGUUGAAGAUUUCGCGUUGCAUGGUUUGCCCCAAAUUGUAGCAGGUAACAGGGCUGUGAUUCAAAACCGGCCCUGGGCCUGGGCCUGGAACCUGGAUUUUCUCUACUGUGUUGAGCCUUCCAGCCAUCCCAGGUGCAGCUGGGCAAAGCUCACUUAAUCCACUCAGUCCUACAUGCCUUAAAGCUGAGCACCCAGAACCCCCCAUACUCCCGCCCAGCCCACACUCUCCGGGACCACCAAGACUCAGGCAACAUGAGCCCUGCUUCACUGUUCCUCUAAAUACCAACCAGAGAAAAGCCACCGAACAAGGGGGCAGACGAUGCUCGGAAGCUGCAGGAGGCGACUGCCUCAGGAAGAGUGCCUGUUAGCACACAGAAGCAUCACCUGUUCCCACAACAGGGAACCGACCGUGCCUGAGUCACCAAGCUUACAGCCAAAUGACAGGCUGGAAAAAGAAAUCAACAAAACCUUCACGUCCGAGCAUGGAAUACUGGUUUCCCUGAUAACCUGCUGAGCAUGACUCAAAGCGGGGAAGCCGGAGAAGAGAGCUGGUCUCCCAGUGAGCCAGCUUCAUGUCGGGUCUUUUCCAAGAAGGCUCUUCAUCUCAGCCAAGCUCACGGAGGGGAGUCAGGGUGAGAGCACAGAGCCUCCCUCACCAACAGUAACAGCCAUAACUGUGGUCUGAGGAAAAAACAAAGGCAAAAAGAAUAGAGAGGAGAUCAGAGGGGAUGGUCUCAAACCGGGGUGGGACUUCCUCCGGAAGGCACUCAGAUCCUGGCUGCGAGUAUCUUUUCAAAUUCUCCAAAACUGCUCCCCCAGGUUUUCUGUAUCAGUCGAAAAUUACCUUCAGCUUCUAAAGCAGUUAGACUUAAGUGAUUGUAAAUAAAAGAUACAAACUGCUUAUGUUCUACACUGAGUCAAUGUAUCACACAUCCCAGAUCAAAAGCCACUGCCCUGAGUCCAGCUU
Sus scrofa (pig) is the source of this 1109-nucleotide non-coding RNA. The record is from RefSeq and is a predicted model, not a curated record. NCBI's taxonomy places the organism in Eukaryota, Metazoa, Chordata, Mammalia, Artiodactyla, Suidae.